UCAUUUCCCAUCAGAAUGUAUUUUCUUUAGGAAAUGUGGAGAAUAAUGAAAGCCACGAGAGUCUCAAACAUGAGAGAGAAUCUCCCUAUGAUCUCACAAACAGCUUUAACCAUUCAACAAAUGCUGCCAGUAGAGAGGCCUCUGAUGUUUGCUCUCCAAGGUGCACAUGAGCAGGAAUUGGAUCAGAAGUGGAGUGGUCGAGACCUGAACCAGGCACUGUGACACCGGUUGCAAGCUUCCCCACCUGAGGCUUCAUUCACUGCAGCAAAAUACAAGCUGCUUGUGCCAGUACUGAUUUAGGGAUCCUUAAAUAGUUUUCUUUAAAACUUACCUGUGAAGUGUUUUGGGGCUCAUUGGAGUGGUGAGCAGAAUGUGAAUAACAAUAAAGAGAUAUAAAAAGCAAACAGAGGGGCUGGCAUUGUGACAUAACAAGUUAAGCUGCCACCUGCAACACUGGCAUCCAUAUAGGGGCAGUUCAAGUCCUGGAUGCUCCAUUCCCCAUUCAGCUCCCUGCUAAUGUGCCUGGGAAAGCAACAGAAAGUGGCCCUAGUAGUUGGGUUCCUGCCACCCAUAUGGGACACCUGGAUGAGGUUCCUAGAUCCUGGUUUAGGCCUGGCCCAAUAAUGGCCAUUGUGGCCAUUUGGGGGAGUGAACCAGCAGAUGGAAGAUCUCUCUCUCUCUCACUCACUCUCACUCUCCUUCUCUCUCUCUCUCUCUCUCUCUCUCUCUCUCUCUCUUU
Oryctolagus cuniculus (rabbit) is the source of this 739-nucleotide non-coding RNA. NCBI's taxonomy places the organism in Eukaryota, Metazoa, Chordata, Mammalia, Lagomorpha, Leporidae. The record is from RefSeq and is a predicted model, not a curated record.